This is a long non-coding RNA of Triticum dicoccoides, 1300 nucleotides long. RefSeq lists it as uncharacterized. The transcript is spliced from 4 exons. The record is from RefSeq and is a predicted model, not a curated record. Lineage: Eukaryota; Viridiplantae; Streptophyta; Magnoliopsida; Poales; Poaceae.
CCCUUGCUCCAGCAACGAGGACCGCACCUUUGUGUCUUCAUGUCCGUCCUCUCAUCCAGCCACCGAUGUCUGUCUCAAGCCACUUGGCUCACCCUAUCUGUAAAUUUAGUGCUUCUUCUGCCUGCAUACAUCCAUCUCACAGACGGAGGAAUAAGGCAGGGAGGAGGCUCAUGAGGGCCAUAAAUGAGGCUUGAGUCUCUAAAGAUUAUGGAUGUGGAGCACCGGGUCACACUCCUCCAACUACAAUGGUUGUUCCACCAACAGGGGCAGAGAUGUAGGUAACUAACGAUGAUGCAGGCUCGUUGAAGAUUUGUGCUCCUUGCAAAAAUGCUGCAGAUUUAUUUUCUUGACGGAAGAAAAAUAAUUGAGCAACCUCAGAGAUGUGCUGCCUGCUUGCCUUUGGCUGUAGAACUAUAGAUAUGUAGGCACGUCAAACAAAUAAAAUCACACAUCACGUUCCACAGGGAGGAAAUAGGCAGAGCUGAUCGGAAGAAAAAUUGUGCUGCCUUUUAUGGUGGUUUUAACCAGUUGAAGGGUUUACUCCAAACUGGUGCUGAUCCGAAGAACACCGAGUUGACGAGGCGACCUUCUUUGUGGGCACGAAGCGCCAUGGGGGAGCUUGGUAGAGUGCAUAGUUGCACAUUAGUACUUCUACACGGAAACACAAACUGCUCUAGCCAUACAUGAGGAGGAUAAUUGCAUGAUUGUUUAUAGGUCAAUCCAGUACACUGAGGAAACCGAAAUUCAUAUUGCAAAUGUCUCGGUUUACCUUGUCACAAUGUUCAUGUUAUCACUAGAAGAAUUGGCACUGAGUUUGGUGGAUAAAUUUUUAGAUCAUUACCAGGCAUGCGAUUCUUAAGAUGUUCCCAUUCAGAAUUGACAUGCGGUCAUCUUCCCUCUACUGUUACUCAAGACUGACGGACAUGAAUCAUAGGAACUGUCGAAGCAUGAAGGGAACAACAAGAUGAACUGGCUUUUAUCGGCAUUCUUGUGUACAUUGAAGAUUUUGGGGCAUUUGGUUGCAUCUGAACUGUCUCUAUUUGAACCUUAGAUUGAUGAGUGAUUUGUUACAUUCUUCACUUGCACAACCUAUCUCUAUUUGAACUAACUGUGUUGUUCAAUGGUGUGCUUAAAUUCAGUUGUGGAAAGGAAUCGCAUCAGGCUUAGGGUAUCAUGGAACAAAGAAUUAUUGUUAAUGAAAAGCUAUUUUAACUCUGACCAGUAGCCGACAUUACUGCAAGUGCUUGCGGAGGCACAAGGUCUAUUUAAAUGGGAUCCUUCUUUGGCCUCGUAACAUGAA